GGACUAAUUUCAUUUUCUGCAGAAGAAAACCCUGCCAGAAGAAUGUCAGGAAAUCUCUGCUCUGGUGCUGAGAAAAGUACAAAAGGACAAGAUGAAGUGGAUUCUCAUAAUUCCAGGUUAACCAUGGAACAACCUGUGUGUGCAACUGUCCUUAGCCAAGCCCUGGACUCUUCAUUUCAUAAUCAAUAGGAACUGAUUCACGAUGAUAAGAACAUCCUUCUCUUAUGGAUAUAGCUUGUGAGACUGACCCUGAAGUGCCAAGUUCUCCCUGACUCAAACAUUAAUGUCCUUCUUAAGUCUCUAACACAAGCAACCAGUGGCAAGUACAACCUAGUCUGAAAAGCUUUCUCCUUAUGAGUUUUUAAUACAGUUAGUUCCCUCUCUGGGUGCUAAAUACCUGAUUUUAAAAUAUUUUUUCCAGUGCAGCCUAGAGAAAAGCCCUGGUACCUGAAAAGACCUGGCUGCUGUGUUUUAGUUCUCUCGAAUCUAGUGCCACCUUCCUUGUGCAACAUCCUGUACUUAGGAGUGUUCUAAAAGCAGCCAAGCAACUGAAGUCCAAAUUCCAUGCAAUCCACCUCCCUGGAGGAGCCCAAGAUGGUCCAGAAUACAGUGCCAUCCUCCUUUUAAAUCUGUGGACACAGGUGGCAUUUUCAAUUGCAAUUCCAUCAGAUAGAAGAUUAGGAGAAAUCACAACCAUUUGAUGCAAUUUUUAAUUUGCUGCCUUUCUUCUUGUGCUCAGCUGAAUUCCCAAGACAAAUCCCAGCUUUCACACUGAGCAAAAGGUGUCCCUUGUCUCCUUUCCUUCAGAGCAACUCAGGAUGUGACAAAGAAAGGAUCCUACAUUCAUGCAGCAUGACCUGAAGGCUCUCACAUUUUACCUAGAAAAGACAAAAGUGUUUCAGAUUAGCUGAUUCCUUCUGUGGGUUCUGUAGCAAUACAGAAAUGCAAAGCAGCUUGUGAAGUAUUGACUUCUCCAUGGAUUUGUUCCCCUGUUCUUGAAGCAUCACUCUGAGAAGGGGUCCUUUGUAAACGUCCAUUGGGCGAGGGCUCAGGUUGCUUCCAGGAGAAAAAGUGGAUACUAUAGAAGAGAUUUGCAAAGCAGCCACCUGGAAGCCUAGCUGCUCCUUUACUAAGCAUCAUAAGGUGCAUAUUAGUGACUCAUUUUAUUCACCUUUUGGGUAACCCAUUU
This 1189-nucleotide long non-coding RNA is filed under the name Gopherus agassizii (Agassiz's desert tortoise). RNAcentral's name for it is "lncRNA (ENSGAGG00000012412.1)". Lineage: Eukaryota; Metazoa; Chordata; Testudines; Testudinidae. The record is from RNAcentral.